AACACUGUUAACCUGCGGUACCUGCGGAAGGAUCAUUAACGCGCCGUGGAGGUUGCCUUUAAACAGGUCUGACCUUCCACCUGGCCACCCUUGUUUAUCUUUAACCUGUUGCUUUGGUGGGCCCGCUGCAAGGCCGCUGGAGAAUUUAAAAGUUUUCUGGCCCGUGCCCACCAAAGUUCUAGUGAACUCUUUGUUAAUUUUCUGCUGUCUGAGCAUUAAAAGAAACAAUUUUUAAAACUU
RNAcentral lists this unclassified non-coding RNA (240 nucleotides) under soil metagenome. RNAcentral describes it as "partial contains 5.8S ribosomal RNA, internal transcribed spacer 2, and large subunit ribosomal RNA". The record is from RNAcentral.